This 177-nucleotide small RNA is filed under the name Novosphingobium sp. Its description in RNAcentral is "Manganese sequence". It matches the Rfam family "Manganese Mn2+ riboswitch aptamer (yybP-ykoY)". From Rfam's summary of the family: This RNA was originally discovered in E. coli during a large scale screen and was named SraF. The family was later found to exist upstream of related families of protein genes in many bacteria, including the the yybP and ykoK genes in B. subtilis. The record is from RNAcentral. Lineage: Bacteria; Pseudomonadati; Pseudomonadota; Alphaproteobacteria; Sphingomonadales; Sphingomonadaceae.
GCGCCUGUCAUCUGGGGAGUAGCCGACCGUUACAUUUGUGGCGGGCCAGUGCGUCAACAUACUUGGUCGAGAGACCAUGGUGCACAGGGAGCAAGACCUUGCUCGGGCGAGACCAAUGACACCGCACUUUCGUCCAGGCCGGGCGGGAGGUGCAGUGUCGUUGGAUAUCGCAGCCGC